Molecule: ribosomal RNA, 611 nt
Filed under: Salmonella enterica subsp. enterica serovar Infantis
Lineage: Bacteria; Pseudomonadati; Pseudomonadota; Gammaproteobacteria; Enterobacterales; Enterobacteriaceae
Also listed under: 1 other name
Description: partial 23S ribosomal RNA
Rfam family: Bacterial large subunit ribosomal RNA
Source: RNAcentral
UUGAAAUACCACCCUUUAAUGUUUGAUGUUCUAACGUGGAUCCGUAAUCCGGGUUGCGGACAGUGUCUGGUGGGUAGUUUGACUGGGGCGGUCUCCUCCUAAAGAGUAACGGAGGAGCACGAAGGUUGGCUAAUCCUGGUCGGACAUCAGGAGGUUAGUGCAAUGGCAUAAGCCAGCUUGACUGCGAGCGUGACGGCGCGAGCAGGUGCGAAAGCAGGUCAUAGUGAUCCGGUGGUUCUGAAUGGAAGGGCCAUCGCUCAACGGAUAAAAGGUACUCCGGGGAUAACAGGCUGAUACCGCCCAAGAGUUCAUAUCGACGGCGGUGUUUGGCACCUCGAUGUCGGCUCAUCACAUCCUGGGGCUGAAGUAGGUCCCAAGGGUAUGGCUGUUCGCCAUUUAAAGUGGUACGCGAGCUGGGUUUAGAACGUCGUGAGACAGUUCGGUCCCUAUCUGCCGUGGGCGCUGGAGAACUGAGGGGGGCUGCUCCUAGUACGAGAGGACCGGAGUGGACGCAUCACUGGUGUUCGGGUUGUCAUGCCAAUGGCACUGCCCGGUAGCUAAAUGCGGAAGAGAUAAGUGCUGAAAGCAUCUAAGCACGAAACUUGCCCCGA